GUCGAGCGAGCAAUCUUGCGGAAGCCUUCGGGUGGAAGCAAGAUUGACUGAGCGGCGGACGGGUGAGUAACGCGUGGGUGACCUGCCUCAUACAGGGGGAUAACAGUUAGAAAUGACUACUAAUACCGCAUAAGCGCACAGUGCUGCAUGGCACAGUGUGAAAAACCCCGGUGGUAUGAGAUGGACCCGCGUCUGAUUAGGUAGUUGGUGGGGUAACGGCCCACCAAGCCGACGAUCAGUAGCCGACCUGAGAGGGUGACCGGCCACAUUGGGACUGAGACACGGCCCAAACUCCUACGGGAGGCAGCAGUGGGGAAUAUUGGACAAUGGGGGAAACCCUGAUCCAGCGACGCCGCGUGACUGAAGAAGUAUUUCGGUAUGUAAAGGUCUAUCAGCAGGGAAGAAAAUGACGGUACCUGACUAAGAAGCCCCGGCUAACUACGUGCCAGCAGCCGCGGUAAUACGUAGGGGGCAAGCGUUAUCCGGAUUUACUGGGUGUAAAGGGAGCGUAGACGGCGAUGCAAGUCUGGAGUGAAAGCCCGGGGCUCAACCCCGGGACUGCUUUGGAAACUGUGUUGCUAGAGUGCAGGAGAGGUAAGUGGAAUUCCUAGUGUAGCGGUGAAAUGCGUAGAUAUUAGGAGGAACACCAGUGGCGAAGGCGGCUUACUGGACUGUAACUGACGUUGAGGCUCGAAAGCGUGGGGAGCAAACAGGAUUAGAUACCCUGGUAGUCCGCGCCGUAAACGAUGAAUACUAGGUGUUGGGGAGCAAAGCUCUUCGGUGCCGUCGCAAACGCAGUAAGUAUUCCACCUGGGGAGUACGUUCGCAAGAAUGAAACUCAAAGGAAUUGACGGGGACCCGCACAAGCGGUGGAGCAUGUGGUUUAAUUCGAAGCAACGCGAAGAACCUUACCAAGUCUUGACAUCGGAAUGACCGGUCCGUAACGGGGCCUUCCCUUCGGGGCAUUCCAGACAGGUGGUGCAUGGUUGUCGUCAGCUCGUGUCGUGAGAUGUUGGGUUAAGUCCCGCAACGAGCGCAACCCUUAUCCUUAGUAGCCAGCAGGUAGAGCUGGGCACUCUGGGGAGACUGCCAGGGAUAACCUGGAGGAAGGUGGGGAUGACGUCAAAUCAUCAUGCCCCUUAUGAUUUGGGCUACACACGUGCUACAAUGGCGUAAACAAAGGGAAGCGAAGCCGUGAGGUGAAGCAAAUCCCAAAAAUAACGUCUCAGUUCGGAUUGUGGUCUGCAACUCGACUACAUGAAGCUGAAUCGCUAGUAAUCGC
This 1282-nucleotide ribosomal RNA is filed under the name uncultured bacterium. RNAcentral's name for it is "bacterial SSU rRNA". It matches the Rfam family "Bacterial small subunit ribosomal RNA", at positions 61 to 1345 of the family's 1533-position model. The record is from RNAcentral.